This 1146-nucleotide long non-coding RNA is filed under the name Canis lupus familiaris (dog). Its description in RNAcentral is "lncRNA (ENSCAFG00000059354.1)". The record is from RNAcentral. Lineage: Eukaryota; Metazoa; Chordata; Mammalia; Carnivora; Canidae.
AUGGCAGCCUCCUCCCUUCAAAACAGGACAGACCAGACACACCGUGGCUGCGGCCCGGCCACGGGGAGGAGGGCGCCAGGGAGGUGCCCGGGCAGGGAGUGCGGCGGGAGCGCUAGGCCUGGGGCCACCCCGCCGCCCACGUGGGGAAGCCGCCACCCAGGACAGUCAGCGAGGGGGCCAGGAGCCCAAGCAGGGCGGAGCACCAGCUCCCACCCGCAGUGGACCAAAGGGCGAAGCGGGGCAGAGCAGGUGGGGAGAGAGAAGGCAGCCCGCUGCGUGCGGGCUGGGAGGGAACCGCCGGCCGCCCCUCCCCGAAAUAAAUGCGGCCCCGCAGGUGCCGGCUCUGCGGGAGCACAGGCCGGAGGGCAUGGGUCCCAGAGCGUGCGGACACCUGGGGAAGCAUCCACAGGUCACAGCACCCACAGGGCUUCAGGGCGGUCACGCCUACGCCCUGAAGGGCGAAGAGCCCCCCCCCCAAGUUUGGGUCCCCGAUGCAAGGGCAGAUGCGCGAUGGGGGCUCCUCGUAAGCCGGGAGACAAGGCACCGAUCGCUGCGUCGGCGGCAGCUGGGGCCGUGUCUGCGGGAGACGGAUGGCAGGGUCGGGGUAGGGGGAGCCCGGGGGCACAGGGCCUCCCGGGCCGGGGGUGGGGGGCUUUCCCGGGGCCGGCGGCACAUCGGGCCGGCGCCCCGGACUUGGGAUUUGGGCUCCGCCUGCCCGAACCCUCGGGCCGCCCCGCGAAGUGUGGAGACGUCCCCGGUCCCGGGGUGAAGGCCGCGAGAGAGCCCCGGCCGAGCCGCCCGGCGAACGUAAAGCGAAGCCGCACUCGGAACCCCACAGCAGCUAGCGCCGCGCAGCCGCAGAGAAGGCGGGGCGCGCAGGCCCCGCCCCCUAUGCUAAUACAGACGGCCUGCGCCCCGCCCCCGCCCGGGAGCCGGACGGGCCCAACGCCGCGGGGGGUGAACGGCUCUCAGCGUCCGGCCCCGCGCUCGCGGGGGCCGAGGUGGGGCGGGACGCCCGGGUCUUGGCCGGUCGGGCGGCGGCACCGUGCGGGAGCGGUCAGAGGACCGCUAGGGCGACCGCGGGAGGGGCGCCCCCCCGCCGCCACGCAUGGUACGGCCCUCAGGGGCGGGGCCCGGAUCAUGUGA